This 430-nucleotide ribosomal RNA is filed under the name uncultured bacterium. Its description in RNAcentral is "bacterial SSU rRNA". It matches the Rfam family "Bacterial small subunit ribosomal RNA", at positions 355 to 776 of the family's 1533-position model. The record is from RNAcentral.
UGGGGAAUUUUUCGCAAUGGGCGAAAGCCUGACGAAGCAACGCCGCGUGGAGGAUGAAGGCCUUCGGGUCGUAAACUCCUGUCGACCGGGACGAACGCUGGUGGGUCCAAUACACCCGCCAGUCGACUGUACCGGUGGAGGAAGCCACGGCUAACUCUGUGCCAGCAGCCGCGGUAAUACAGAGGUGGCAAGCGUUGUUCGGAAUUACUGGGCGUAAAGGGCGCGUAGGCGGUUCUGUAAGUCCCGCGUGAAAUCCCCCGGCUCAACUGGGGAACUGCGCGGGAAACUGUGGGGCUAGAGUUCAGGAGAGGGAAGCGGAAUUCCGGGUGUAGCGGUGAAAUGCGUAGAUAUCCGGAGGAACACCGGUGGCGAAGGCGGCUUCCUGGACUGACACUGACGCUGAGGCGCGAAAGCUAGGGGAGCAAACGGG